UUGAACGCUGGCGGCAGGCCUAACCCCUGCAAGUCGAGCGGAUGAAGGGAGCUUGCUCCUGGAUUCAGCGGCGGACGGGUGAGUUAUGCCUAGGAAUCUGCCUGGUAGUGGGGGAUAACGUCCGGAAACGGGCGCUAAUACCGCAUACGUCCUGAGGGAGAAAGUGGGGGAUCUUCGGACCUCACGCUAUCAGAUGAGCCUAGGUCGGAUUAGCUAGUUGGUGGGGUAAAGGCCUACCAAGGCGACGAUCCGUAACUGGUCUGAGAGGAUGAUCAGUCACACUGGAACUGAGACACGGUCCAGACUCCUACGGGAGGCAGCAGUGGGGAAUAUUGGACAAUGGGCGAAAGCCUGAUCCAGCCAUGCCGCGUGUGUGAAGAAGGUCUUCGGAUUGUAAAGCACUUUAAGUUGGGAGGAAGGGCAGUAAGUUAAUACCUUGCUGUUUUGACGUUACCAACAGAAUAAGCACCGGCUAACUUCGUG
This 483-nucleotide ribosomal RNA is filed under the name uncultured bacterium. RNAcentral describes it as "partial 16S ribosomal RNA". It matches the Rfam family "Bacterial small subunit ribosomal RNA", at positions 30 to 507 of the family's 1533-position model. The record is from RNAcentral.